This 253-nucleotide ribosomal RNA is filed under the name uncultured bacterium. Its description in RNAcentral is "partial 16S ribosomal RNA". It matches the Rfam family "Bacterial small subunit ribosomal RNA", at positions 524 to 776 of the family's 1533-position model. The record is from RNAcentral.
UACGGAGGGUGCGAGCGUUGUCCGGAAUCACUGGGCGUAAAGGGCGCGUAGGCGGCAUGCCAAGCGUGUGGUGGAAGCCCGGGGCUCAACCCCGGGUCGGCCGUGCGGACUGGCAUGCUCGAGCACUGUAGGGGCGGGUGGAAUUCCGGGUGUAGCGGUGAAAUGCGCAGAUAUCAGGAGGAACACCAAUGGCGAAGGCAGCUCGCUGGAACGGAACUGACGCUGAGGCGCGAAAGCGUGGGGAGCGAACAGG